CACGUAGGGCGCAAGCGUUGUCCGGAAUUAUUGGGCGUAAAGAGCUCGUAGGCGGUCUGUUGCGUCCGCUGUGAAAACUCAGGGCUCAACCCUGAGCGUGCUUCCGAUACGGGCAGACUAGAGGUAUGCAGGGGAGAACGGAAUUCCUGGUGUAGCGGUGGAAUGCGCAGAUAUCAGGAGGAACACCGGUGGCGAAGGCGGUUCUCUGGGCAUUACCUGACGCUGAGGAGCGAAAGCAUGGGGAGCGAACAGG
RNAcentral lists this ribosomal RNA (253 nucleotides) under uncultured bacterium. Its description in RNAcentral is "partial 16S ribosomal RNA". It matches the Rfam family "Bacterial small subunit ribosomal RNA", at positions 524 to 776 of the family's 1533-position model. The record is from RNAcentral.